Molecule: small nuclear RNA, 103 nt
Filed under: Nelumbo nucifera (sacred lotus)
Lineage: Eukaryota; Viridiplantae; Streptophyta; Magnoliopsida; Proteales; Nelumbonaceae
Source: RNAcentral
GUCUCUUCGGAGACAUCUGACAAAAUUGGAACGAUACAGAGAAGAUUAGCAUGGCCCCUGCUCAAGGAUGACACACACAAAUCGAGAAAUUGUCCAAAUAUUU